GUGCUCGAUUCGGCAGCACCUACACUAAAAUUGGGAUGCAACACAGAAGGCUGGCGUGGCCGCAGCGCAAGACUGACACGCAAAUGUGUGCAGCGGUUUGUAUUUUU
Small nuclear RNA from Callithrix jacchus (white-tufted-ear marmoset), 107 nucleotides. Lineage: Eukaryota; Metazoa; Chordata; Mammalia; Primates; Cebidae. The record is from Ensembl.